This 465-nucleotide ribosomal RNA is filed under the name uncultured bacterium. Its description in RNAcentral is "partial 16S ribosomal RNA". It matches the Rfam family "Bacterial small subunit ribosomal RNA", at positions 28 to 507 of the family's 1533-position model. The record is from RNAcentral.
GACGAACGCUGGCGGCGUGCUUAACACAUGCAAGUCGAACGGAAAGGCCCUGCUUGCAGGGUACUCGAGUGGCGAACGGGUGAGUAACACGUGGGUGAUCUGCCCUGCACUUCGGGAUAAGCCUGGGAAACUGGGUCUAAUACCGGAUAGGAGCUAUUUUUAGUGUGAUGGUUGGAAAGUUUUUUCGGUGUAGGAUGAGCUCGCGGCCUAUCAGCUUGUUGGUGGGGUAAUGGCCUACAAAGGCGGCGACGGGUAGCCGGCCUGAGAGGGUGGACGGCCACAUUGGGACUGAGAUACGGCCCAGACUCCUACGGGAGGCAGCAGUGGGGAAUAUUGCACAAUGGGCGCAAGCCUGAUGCAGCGACGCCGCGUGGGGGAUGACGGCCUUCGGGUUGUAAACUCCUUUCGCUAGGGACGAAGCUUUUUGUGACGGUACCUAGAUAAGAAGCACCGGCUAACUACGUG